AAAAGAAGUUAAAUUAUUUAGUAAGAUGUGGCUGUUUUAAUACCCACAGCAUUUACCCACCGGAAGUUUAAGUGGUUUUAUUUUUUUUUAAUGAAUUGUUUAUAUUAGAAGUUUCUACUGCUGUACAAGCUCUAGCAUCUAAUACUCAUAAUUCAUCAACUCAGUGCAUCAAUCUUUAGUUGUGUAAUCACUCCACACAUUUCUGCAACAGCUGGAUAGAUUUUGUAUGUCCAUAUUUAAGCAAUUGAAGACACCAGACCGAGCAAAAUGCAUUUAUAAUUGAAAGAGUUAGGAAAAGGCUUAGGAAUAGGGAAAACACCCCAAAAAUCUACCAGUAGGCAAAGGAGGAUUAUGGGGGAAGAGAAUGAACUCUAAAGAAGGGAGAAAAAUCCAAUGGCAUGGGACCUGAGGUAAAACAAAUCUUACAAAUUUCUCUUACAAAUACAUUUGAUUUUCAGUGGUGGUAAAACAGCAGCUGGCUGGUUAAAACAAAGCCCUGUAAAGCCACACCUACAACUAUACCAGAAAUCAUUAAUCUGGGACUUCUGCCCCAAGUCUUAAAUGAGAGACCACAAUCCAAAGUACCAACCCCCCUAUGAAACAGUCAGGAGACUGUUGUAAUUUUAUAAAAAAACAUUAAUGUUUAGGUCACUGCUCAGCAUUCUGGUAACAUGCAAGAUGAAGCCAAGUUUUCACUGUAAUAUAUUACAUAAAAGUAACCACCAGGACUUUGGUUGCCUGUUUUUUUAUGGUAUUUCUUCACUAACAAUUCAGCCUUAAAAAGACCUUGCACUAACUACUUGUACUUCCAGUUUUAACCACCCUCAAGUUUAAAACUAUGACGUGGGAAACAAAAACUGGCUUGGCAGCCUUGCAUAAAGCUCUUUUUAACCCACCCUGCUUGUGAUCCAGUUUCAAACUGCAUUUAAUAACCACACGCACAUUACCUUUUGUCUAAUAUUGUUAAAUAUUAGAUAACAGCAGCUUAAUGUUCAUCCUUUAAAGAUACAAACUUCAGCUGCUGUUCUCUAAGGCACUUACUUGGUAUGUCAGUAUCAGGCUGCAAAUACAGCUUGUUAUGAAUAAAUCAGUCUUACAGAGUAACUACUUAGUCACUAUUUAGUAUUUAAUUGCUAACAGUCAUUCUAAAACACAAAUUUAGAUUUGGAGUACAAGAGGAUGUGGGGUGAGUAUAAAUUAUUAAACUGACCUUCCCUAAACAGCUAGUAGAGUUUUCAAGAAGACUGACAUUAAUUUUUAUUAAUAAUAGAAAAUCCAACUAUUUCAAACUGCUGACUGCAGAACUAAGAAACAAUUUGAGACAGGGAAUGUACCAAGCCAAGUUUGAAAUUAGGUAAGACUGUCAAACACCUCUCCUUGGAGACAUUCCAGCCUGGAUGGGUUCUUCCCAGCUCCUGACAUCCAGAAUUUUUCAAGGUUGAAUAUGACAGCAGCAAAUGAGAGAGCAGGGGGACACCAGAGGCUAACCAGUGUUAGUGACUAGUUUAUAGAAUUGAUGACUUCUAUUAAAUAUAAGAAAUUCUUUGUGCUGAGAACUUGAAUAAAAAGUGAACCAGAGAGGCCAAAGGGGAGGGAGCACAAGCUCAGCCCAUGCUGUCCCAUGGCAGCCUGACGAGUUGGUAUGCCAGGCCCUCCACUGUCCUCCAGCAAUGCCAGCCAAAGAAACAGUUUCCAACAGGCAUCAAUUAUUUUGCUGGAAGCUUUCUUUAUGCCAGAAAGUGCUUCAUGCCUCAAAAGUGAUUUAUAAUUUCAUGACAAUGACGCUUAUACUCCUGAAUUAGACUACAGAUUUAGAUGGCACUGGAGAUAAAAGAAAGCCUUUCAUUUGUAACCCACUUUUUUUUUUCUGCAGUCAGAGUGACAUCUAUUGCAUAACUUUCUCACAGACACACCUUCAAGGCUAAAACAGAAGUUGCAGGGGUUCAGUUUCUCUACUUGCUUGUGCUGUGGCUUUUAUCACUUACACCAUCAGUAUAGAUUAUGACAGCAAGAUAUGUGUGUAUUAUAUAUAACAUACAUAUAUAUAUAUACAAAAGCCCUAAAAAUGGAUUUAUUAAUUACAACAUUAUGGUGAUGACCAAAAGCAGCCCACAGGCAGUUUUGUGAAGUGAAAAGCACUGUAAGAGGACCUCCAAAACCUUCUCCAGUUAGCACUACUGCUCUGUUGAAGAAGGAACGUGGAUGUUCCCAGUUCUUGCUGUGUCUUGUAUCCACUAAAAGCAUCUGGAAGCUGCCACAUUUCACACCGGUGGAAUGUGUGUCUCAGUGUUGGACAUACUGUCUCUUUAUAUAUAAAAACAAUAUGUUAAUGUUAACUAUAUUGGAGUGAAUUGAGUACAAAUCAAACAUUUUGGGAGCUGCACUUUUCACUCUCUGUGAUUACUUUAGAGCAACGAUUUUCCUUCCAUUGUAAGAGGACAGAGCAACUGACUGCAAACUAAAGUCCAUUUUCACAGUGCAUAUUCCUGGUAGGUGAAGAGUCAAGGAUGCCUGUGACACUGACACAAAACAGUGGGGACAGAGCCUAUGGAAUGCCAGGAUUUUAUCGGGCGCUCGUUUUAACAACCGACGCAAUUUGUUUACAGGACAAACACCACGCAAAUGGCACUGAAUGAGAUCAUUUUACAAGAGGUUUCUCCCUAAUAAAACAAACCCCCACGUUUGCCCAUGGAAAGGUAAACUGUAGGUCAGCUGAGGGGAGCUCAUUCUUUACCCACGGGAGUCCUCCAGCGCAUUCACCAAGGGCACGAGUUGCCUUGGGUAGAAGCGUGGGAUUCAGCAGAAAGAAAAUAAAACCAAAGGCUGCCUGACUUCAAAGGGCACAUUUCAAGAUCGGAAACCCUGGCGGCGCUCUCCCCCGUCCCUGGAAGUGUCCAUGGCUGGAUGGGGCUCGCAUCCUCUUGAAAGAAGCCGCUGCCGAGGCCUCCAGGCCCCUUUCGACCCAAGACAUCCCCUGGGCCAGGUUCUGGCAGCCCACCUGAUCCCUGGAUACACCCCGCGGACUCCGCUCCAGGGCCGCUUUCCCGUGCCAGAACACCCGAUCCCGCCCCCCACCAUCCUUCGCAUCCCCCGCUCCGCUCUCCCCGCCGGCCCAACCGGGGACCAAGGUGACCCCCGCU
Long non-coding RNA from Pseudopodoces humilis (Tibetan ground-tit), 3140 nucleotides. RefSeq lists it as uncharacterized. The record is from RefSeq and is a predicted model, not a curated record. Lineage: Eukaryota; Metazoa; Chordata; Aves; Passeriformes; Paridae.